AGAGUUUGAUCAUGGCUCAGAGUGAACGCUGGCGGCGUGCUUAACACAUGCAAGUCGAACGGAUGAAAUAAGCUUGCUUAUUUCGUUAGUGGCGCACGGGUGGGUAAUGUAUAGCUAACCUGCCCUUUAGUGGGGGACAACAGUUGGAAACGACUGCUAAUACCCCAUACUCCAGCCUAUCAAAAGGUAGGUUGGGAAAGAUUUAUUGCUAAAGGAUGGGGCUUUAUGGUAUCAGCUAGUUGGUGGGGUAACGGCCUACCAAGGCAAUGACGCCUACCUGGUCUGAGAGGAUGAUCAGGCACACUGGAACUGAGACACGGUCCAGACUCCUACGGGAGGCAGCAGUGGGGAAUAUUGCACAAUGGGGGAAACCCUGAUGCCAGCAACGCCGCGUGGAGGAUGACGCAUUUCGGUGUGUAAACUCCUUUUAUAAGGGAAGAUAAUGACGGUACCUUAUGAAUAAGCACCGGCUAACUCCGUGCCAGCAGCGGC
This 492-nucleotide ribosomal RNA is filed under the name uncultured bacterium. RNAcentral's name for it is "bacterial SSU rRNA". It matches the Rfam family "Bacterial small subunit ribosomal RNA", at positions 8 to 518 of the family's 1533-position model. The record is from RNAcentral.